Non-coding RNA from Anopheles christyi, 90 nucleotides. The record is from Rfam. NCBI's taxonomy places the organism in Eukaryota, Metazoa, Arthropoda, Insecta, Diptera, Culicidae.
AAGACGUACAUCGGUAUGUUUGUCGGUGCGCUUUGUGCGUUGGCCGGUGUGUUGACGAUCGCCCUGCCCGUACCCGUCAUCGUGAGCAAC